Drosophila mojavensis is the source of this 872-nucleotide long non-coding RNA. RefSeq lists it as uncharacterized. Lineage: Eukaryota; Metazoa; Arthropoda; Insecta; Diptera; Drosophilidae. The record is from RefSeq and is a predicted model, not a curated record. The transcript is spliced from 4 exons.
AGGACAAAUUGUAAAUUCGUCAUUCAGUUGUCCAGCUUGGCAGUGCUCACAUCUAAAAUAAAAUUCUCAGUUUUUCAAAAUUCCAAAUUCCAAAUUAAGAAAUGAAAUAAAAACCGCAACCGGACUUUUGGCUACAUUUGUCUAAAAUAAAAAAGUAAAUAUAUAUAAAAAAAAGUGUUGCUAAAAACAAGCAAUGGUAAUAACAUUUUAUACGACCAACGACGAAAGCUUGCUAAUUUUCUUGUUGUGCAUUUCGCCUUAAAGGCCUUGAAGGCUCGUUAGAUAAAGAAGAAUAAUAUAAAUCCUCUGGAAUUAUGGACCAUCGUUAACAAAUAGAUGUCAAUUUGUUUUUGGAGCAAGGUCCGAGGAUGUAGAGAUCCUUGUGUUUGCUCAUACACUUGAAUCGCGAACUCUGAACGUUGGUAUAUCGGAAUCGCUAUAUUAUAUUAGGCAUUGAGGCUGCCAUUAAUUUAUUUUCAUUUUAUGCUUCGACCCUGACAGGUCUGCUGUAUAUACAACAUGACACAAAAUAAUGAAUGGAUCGAUUCAACGAAUUUAUAAAAAUAUCGAAAUGAAGCAUUUUUGAACGGGGUGCAAGGUCCGAGGAUAUCAUAUCCUUGUGUUUGCCUCCGAGUAGUAGUAGUGGAGUAACAACGAAGAAAAACAAACAAAACAAGGUCCUUCUACUAGGAAACUUCCAAGCCGACUAACAUUUGAACAAGACACAAUUCUAAAUUACAGACUAGUAGCUGCAGCCUAUUUAGAAACACUGGUAUACUUUGUUUUGUAAAUUUAUACAUUCACAUGUUCUUGUGUUUACAAUUAUGCAUGCUGUCAUAUAUCCAUGUUUAUUAAAUGCACGAUAACCAAUA